ACUGUAUAUCAAACAUAUGGUC
Molecule: microRNA, 22 nt
Filed under: Petromyzon marinus (sea lamprey)
Lineage: Eukaryota; Metazoa; Chordata; Hyperoartia; Petromyzontiformes; Petromyzontidae
Description: pma-miR-190b-3p
Gene: pma-miR-190b-3p
Source: miRBase by way of RNAcentral